This 251-nucleotide ribosomal RNA is filed under the name uncultured bacterium. Its description in RNAcentral is "partial 16S ribosomal RNA". It matches the Rfam family "Bacterial small subunit ribosomal RNA", at positions 57 to 305 of the family's 1533-position model. The record is from RNAcentral.
GCAAGUCGAACGGUAACAUGAGAGCUUGCUCUUGAUGACGAGUGGCGCACGGGUGCGUAACGCGUAUGCAAUCUACCUUUUACUGGAGAAUAGCCCUUGGAAACGAGGAAUAAUACUCCAUAGUAUAACAAUUUCGCAUGUUAUUGUUAUUAAAGCUUUGGCGGUAAAAGAUGAGCAUGCGUCCCAUUAGUUAGUUGGUGAGGUAAAGGCUCACCAAGACUGCGAUGGGUAGGGGGCCUGAGAGGGUUAUC